Molecule: transfer RNA, 87 nt
Filed under: Bacillota bacterium
Lineage: Bacteria; Bacillati; Bacillota
Description: tRNA-Ser
Rfam family: tRNA
About the family: Transfer RNA (tRNA) molecules are approximately 80 nucleotides in length. Their secondary structure includes four short double-helical elements and three loops (D, anti-codon, and T loops). Further hydrogen bonds mediate the characteristic L-shaped molecular structure. tRNAs have two regions of fundamental functional importance: the anti-codon, which is responsible for specific mRNA codon recognition, and the 3' end, to which the tRNAs corresponding amino acid is attached (by aminoacyl-tRNA synthetases). tRNAs cope with the degeneracy of the genetic code in two manners: having more than one tRNA (with a specific anti-codon) for a particular amino acid; and 'wobble' base-pairing, i.e. permitting non-standard base-pairing at the 3rd anti-codon position.
Source: RNAcentral
GGAGAGGUGUCCGAGUGGUUGAAGGAGCAUGUCUGGAGAACAUGCAGGCGGGCAACCGCCUCGUGGGUUCGAAUCCCACCCUCUCCG